GCAGUGAAGCUGCUACUCCAGGUGCUAUAAGGGGGCGGGGAAGAAGGGUAGUAAAGCCCAAAAAUGCAGCGAAUUGGAAACCGGCGCUUCGAGUAAUAUCAGAAGAAAGAGUGAUGUCUGAUAUUGUUGGCAAUGGUAGCGGAGGAACAUCAAAAAAAUGUGCAGCUAUUCCAUCAAAAGAAUGUGGCUCGAUUCUGCAUGGCAAAUGUCUGAUAUUGUUGGUAAUGGUAGCGGAGGAAGAUCAAAAGAACGUACAGCUAUUCCAUCUUCUUGCGCCAAAUCCGCUGCUAAAGUUAAAGCUAAAUCUAUUGCCAGAUCCCAAUUAUCUCC
This 330-nucleotide long non-coding RNA is filed under the name Nicotiana benthamiana. Its description in RNAcentral is "long non-coding RNA (NBEN_LNC019143)". Lineage: Eukaryota; Viridiplantae; Streptophyta; Magnoliopsida; Solanales; Solanaceae. The record is from RNAcentral.